UACGUAGGGGGCAAGCGUUAUCCGGAUUUACUGGGUGUAAAGGGAGCGUAGACGGUUAUGCAAGUCAGAAGUGAAAGCCCAAGGCUCAACUUCGGGACUGCUUUUGAAACUGUGUAACUAGAGUGCAGGAGGGGUAAGCGGAAUUCCUAGUGUAGCGGUGAAAUGCGUAGAUAUUAGGAGGAACACCGGCGGCGAAGGCGGCUUACUGGACUGUAACUGACGUUGAGGCUCGAAAGCGUGGGGAGCAAACAGG
Molecule: ribosomal RNA, 253 nt
Filed under: uncultured bacterium
Lineage: Bacteria
Description: partial 16S ribosomal RNA
Rfam family: Bacterial small subunit ribosomal RNA
Source: RNAcentral